RNAcentral lists this small RNA (1364 nucleotides) under Pongo abelii (Sumatran orangutan). RNAcentral's name for it is "processed transcript". Lineage: Eukaryota; Metazoa; Chordata; Mammalia; Primates; Hominidae. The record is from RNAcentral.
CCAGUGAACUGUAUGCUUCUUGAAAACAGUACUGUGUCUUAAUCAUCUUGAUUCCACAAUGCCUAGAUGGGGCCUUUUGCAUAGCAGACAUUUUGCUAAUGUUAGUGGAAUGAAGUAAUUCUCUCUGAAAAGAUGAAUCAUAAAUGCACUACUCAUGAGCCAGGGAAUUUCCUGAGUCUCUUCUUAAAACCCAGGUGAAUUCUUGUGGAAAUAUGACUGAACCUUAACUGUUUCUAACCACAGUCAUACAUUUCCAGGGUAUCAUAAAGCUGGUACCAUUAUGAGACAUUUAUGUGUGUAUUAUAUAAUAAGGUAAGGUCUGUCAAGUGACCACACCACAAUGCUUGGUGGCCAGUAGGCACACAAUAGAUGCUAGCCUUUGUUUCCUUUUUCUGAUUCUCCUAGGUUUUAUGUCAGAGUCACUAUAAGAAUUACUAAGGAUAGGGGAAAUUGCCUUUCUGUUUGGACAAAUAUUCAUAGCAGUUAAAGAUUCUGUUUUGACAUGCCCAGAUUUAGAAUUCUGCAGGAAAACAGAAGUCAGAGCAGCUGGCAGGCUGAACUGGUACACAGUAUAACCCAGACAGUAGACCUGCCCAGUGUCACAGUAUUUUCUGGGCUGACUGUUCUAGUCACAAGGUACUCAAGAAUUUUAUUCACAUACACAAACACACACACACACACACACACACGCACACACACGGUCUUUGAUUUAGUGGUUCAGACUAGCUCUGUUUUCAGAAGUUACUUCUUUGUCAAAGACGAUAGCCUUUAUACUCUUUAAUUUGAUUUUAUGCCCUUUUAAGCUACCUUAUUUAGAAGGAGCAGAGUGUAUAAAAGCUGUUCCUGGCAAAGGGCCGCAGCAGCCUAAUAAACAAAUCUGACAGGAGCCCAGUUUGUUACUAAGCCAAGAAUAACGUUUCUCUCUAUUCUGACUAAUGAGAUUCCUAAAACUUAACGAUUUUUUCUUGAUUUUUGGUAUUAAUUAUAUUUGAUUGUCAUAUUACUGUGUUUAGUGUGUCAAAAUACAGUCUUGAAAAUGAUAAGUAUUAUCUCUGAAUCCUUUUUUUUUUUUCCAUUCAAGAUAAGCUGUCAUUGGAAGGAAUAGUGGUACAAAGAGCUGAGUGCCGACCAGCUGCCAGUGAAAACUACAUGCGAUUAAAAAGAUUGCAAAUAGAAGAGUCUUCCAAACCUGUGAGGCUAUCACAACAGCUGGACAAAGUUGUAACAACCAAUUACAAACCUGUUGCUAAUCAUCAAUACAAUAUUGAAUAUGAAAGGAAAAAGAAAGAAGACGGAAAGCGAGCUCGAGCUGAUAAACAACAUGUUUUAGACAUGCUAUUUUCAGCCUUUGAGAAACAUCAAUA